Molecule: ribosomal RNA, 253 nt
Filed under: uncultured bacterium
Lineage: Bacteria
Description: partial 16S ribosomal RNA
Rfam family: Bacterial small subunit ribosomal RNA
Source: RNAcentral
UACGUAGGGUGCAAGCGUUGUCCGGAAUUAUUGGGCGUAAAGAGCUCGUAGGCGGUUUGUCGCGUCGACUGUGAAAAACCACGACUCAACCGUGGGACUGCAGUCGAUACGGGCAGGCUAGAGUUCGGUAGGGGAGACUGGAAUUCCUGGUGUAGCGGUGAAAUGCGCAGAUAUCAGGAGGAACACCGGUGGCGAAGGCGGGUCUCUGGGCCGAUACUGACGCUGAGGAGCGAAAGCGUGGGGAGCGAACAGG